RNAcentral lists this ribosomal RNA (455 nucleotides) under uncultured Allobrachymonas sp. RNAcentral's name for it is "bacterial SSU rRNA". It matches the Rfam family "Bacterial small subunit ribosomal RNA", at positions 923 to 1382 of the family's 1533-position model. The record is from RNAcentral. Lineage: Bacteria; Pseudomonadati; Pseudomonadota; Betaproteobacteria; Burkholderiales; Comamonadaceae.
GCACAAGCGGUGGAUGAUGUGGUUUAAUUCGAUGCAACGCGAAAAACCUUACCCACCUUUGACAUGGCAGGAAUCCCGAAGAGAUUUGGGAGUGCUCGAAAGAGAACCUGCACACAGGUGCUGCAUGGCUGUCGUCAGCUCGUGUCGUGAGAUGUUGGGUUAAGUCCCGCAACGAGCGCAACCCUUGCCAUUAGUUGCUACGAAAGGGCACUCUAAUGGGACUGCCGGUGACAAACCGGAGGAAGGUGGGGAUGACGUCAAGUCCUCAUGGCCCUUAUAGGUGGGGCUACACACGUCAUACAAUGGCCGGUACAGAGGGUAGCCAACCCGCGAGGGGGAGCCAAUCCCACAAAGCCGGUCGUAGUCCGGAUCGCAGUCUGCAACUCGACUGCGUGAAGUCGGAAUCGCUAGUAAUCGUGGAUCAGAAUGUCACGGUGAAUACGUUCCCGGGUCUU